UUGUUGUUUUGAGGGAAUGAGGGGUUUGCUUUGCGCCGAACGAUAUGCCCUGCUGCGUGUGUACUGGUGGAUACGGUGCGCUGUGAGGCACAGACACGUGACUUGCUACUAUUUUUUCGUGUGUAGUGUACGUGGAGAAGAGCGAAGAAUGGAGCACUUAAAACUAGUCCCUCAAGUCUAGCAGUCAACGUCAGCGGAUCGUUCUCUCCCCAUCAGGAAGUGUAACGCAUUGUUUGCGAUUUGCAUUCAUUAGCAAAAUAAAUAUACUUUAAGGGCAAAGGAAAGUACCGAAAACAAUCCUAUCCAGUCCAAAGGUCCACAAUAAUGGAGCCUAAAAAUCGUUCCUUCUGCCCGGCAAUUUUGUUCCGUUUUUCAUUAAAACAUUGACUACCCUGGUGGGUGGAAUGGAGGGGAGAGGGGAAUCGACAAAAAAGGCCACCAGUACACCUCAAACAUUGUAUACCACACCGCAUUAUGCAAUCGAGGAGGAUAGGCCAGAAUCAAACAUCGCACAGCAUCGCUCUAUAAAAAAAAACAACUAGCACAUAACCAACACAAAACGGAUGGCUGUCAAUCGGCCACAGACAAUGGAAAGCUGUGGCAGAAACUGUGCUGUAAAAAAAACAAAAACAAAAAUCGCACAUGGCGCUGAACCUUCGAUUCUACCUCUCCAGAAGACUGAGAGGACUCGCUGCGGGAUAGCGUAGCGCUUCAGCCCCAUCUCCAUCAUCCUACCGGGAGCGAUGAAGUCAAGGACGGAAAAGGAUUAUGUAUUCUAAAUGGUUGGGCAUGGUUGCGCCAUGCAAAACUCGUGACGAGAGAUGGAAGCAUAAUCAGGAAACGGAAGGUAUGGAGAUACCGAACCGACAUGUCACAAACACCGGAUGAAUAACGAAGAGAAAGAAAGAGUGUUAGCGAGAACACACAGACGACGACAACGACAUGAGCAACAAAAUGGGCACGAAUUGGGAUUGCUUCCGACGUGGCAGCAAACCGAUCGAGUGUGGAUAGCUUUUACGUGCAAUUGUGUGCAGAAAUUGGUUGGAAAAUCGAAUCGUGUGUGGUUGGUUUUUCAUCCAUCUAAUUACGUACAAACACACACAUAUAUAUAAACACACACGCGCAAAAGCUCACACCAAAGCAUAGCAUUCGUGGUUGGGUUGGAAAAUGUAAGCUGCGUCCGCUUUCGUCAAUGCGCGCACACACACACACACACAGUGAACCAAGUGGAGUUGAAGGGGGGAUGGUUUUUUGAAACAGUGGGUGAGGUGGUUGCGAUGAUGCUGAUUAUGGUGCUGGCUGAUGGUACUAUACUCCAAAAGAAAAUGGAUUUUUAUGUUACCCUGCGGCACAAACAACACCGGUACUCUAUCGAGCAUGUACAUACAUACAAUGGUGUAUAAAUAGACAUUGGCAAAACGUAGAUAAGGAA
Anopheles coluzzii is the source of this 1432-nucleotide long non-coding RNA. RefSeq lists it as uncharacterized. The record is from RefSeq and is a predicted model, not a curated record. Lineage: Eukaryota; Metazoa; Arthropoda; Insecta; Diptera; Culicidae. The transcript is spliced from 2 exons.